RNAcentral lists this ribosomal RNA (443 nucleotides) under uncultured bacterium. Its description in RNAcentral is "partial 16S ribosomal RNA". It matches the Rfam family "Bacterial small subunit ribosomal RNA", at positions 338 to 795 of the family's 1533-position model. The record is from RNAcentral.
CCUACGGGUGGCAGCAGUGGGGAAUAUUGGGCAAUGGAGGCAACUCUGACCCAGCAACGCCGCGUGAACGAUGAAGGUCUUCGGAUUGUAAAGUUCUUUAAGUGGGGACGAAGAAAGUGACUGUACCCACAGAAUAAGCCUCGGCUAACUACGUGCCAGCAGCCGCGGUAAUACGUAGGAGGCAAGCGUUAUCCGGAAUGACUGGGCGUAAAGGGUGCGUAGGUGGUUUGGCAAGUUGGUAGCGUAAUCCCGGGGCUCAACCUCGGUGCUACUACCAAAACUGCUGGGCUUGAGUGCAGGAGGGGUGAAUGGAAUUCCCAGUGUAGCGGUGGAAUGCGUAGAUAUUGGGAAGAACACCAGCGGCGAAGGCGAUUCACUGGACUGUAACUGACACGGAGGCACGAAAGCGUGGGGAGCAAACAGGAUUAGAUACCCCAGUAGUC